UUGUGGCGUGCAUACAAAACAAACCCUUAUAUUAUUGAUGAUAAAAAUUUAAGAAAACUAUAGUGAAUAAAAAGAACGUUUAAAACUAUACACCUACACAUGAUAACAGAUAACUAUUGGCCUGUACCUGCCCAAAAUCCGGUGCAAAUACAGCCGGUAUUCAUUUUUCCUUUUUUGCAUUAAAAAAAACGAUUCACACGACCAUAACCACGUCAGCAACGCUAAUAUGACCCCUUUAUAUAGCGAGAAAUGGAGGUUUGGGUUUUCACAAAUUCCUCAAUUCCUUUAUUCCUAUCUUCCUCGAUAUCUCCUUGUAGCUUUCUACACAACGAUGGCUAAAUUUCAACGGUUUUCCAUGGAUCUGAAAUCUGGCUCCUCAGAUCUUUCAUUCCGUGGCGAGAUCUGCGUAUUCGUAUUACUUUUGAAAUCUCUUCGUGUUCGUCACUGUUGUUGAAUCAUCCUGUACAAUUGGAUUGUUGCGAUGAUGGUAUCUCAUCGCUGCUUGCUUCAGUUUCAUUUGUUGUAGAGAAGAUUAUUGUAACGGAAGCGUUGCUGGCUUGUUGCGUCUCAUUAACGUCAAAUCUCUAUUCGUGUUGUGAAUUUAGAUUAUGUGAUUGUUGUUUGGGGGAUGAAGUUGUUCUGAAUAAUAUAUUUGUGAACCGACCUUUGCCAUGACAGGUGCGCUUGCAUGGCAGGUCAAAAAAUGAAUAAAAGAAUAUUUUGUUGUUUCUGAGAGAGAUCGCACGGAAAUCGUCCGGGAUCUCUCUCUCGUGUGGUCUGUGUGAUCUUCUUCUUCUCUCGUUAUGCUUUCGUUUUUUCUUCAUUGCUCUACCACGCACACUCAUCGACAAAGAUUUAUCAUGAUCUCUGGAUUUUCUCCGUCUCUUAUAUAAUAAGAUGUGUAUAUAAUCUUUUAACAAGUUUAAUUAAAACAAGUGAUGCUGAGAACUGUAUUUUGAUUAAUGAACUUUGUACUUACGAGGAACGUGAUUGUGGAUAGAUUUCAAUUAGGCGUUAAGGUAAUCAGGUAAUCAGUGUAUUGGUAUUUACGCUAAACUUUAAUUUUCAUUAACAAGAUUGUUGAGAAAAGGUCUAUUUAGGGUAGUUUAAUAUUCCCUCUGGUUUUAUGGUUUUAUUUAGAAGGGAAAGUUGAUUUUUUAUAUUAUUUAAUAAUCAAUGUAUUGAUAAAUAAGACUAAGGAACUAUUAAUGAAAUCAUUAGUUGUUCAUACAUAUGAUAUGUGAAAUUAAUUA
Lathyrus oleraceus (garden pea) is the source of this 1253-nucleotide long non-coding RNA. RefSeq lists it as uncharacterized. Lineage: Eukaryota; Viridiplantae; Streptophyta; Magnoliopsida; Fabales; Fabaceae. The transcript is spliced from 2 exons. The record is from RefSeq and is a predicted model, not a curated record.